UUCCCGCCCCAGCGGCUAACCGCAUCAAGAUAUACGGAUUUGUUUUUGACUGGCAUUUGUCUUUCAGGUGUCGCAUAUGUGUGCCUUGCCUCUGAUAGCUGACUACUGUGCUUGGUAGCCACAUUGACUGCACGCACGACCACUCACAAUCCCGGACGAAUUAUAACGGUCAUCACGGUCUGCGACUACUGUGGGCCCACCGACUACAAGCCCUGAUCACAAUAAAUCUUGUAGAACUCUG
RNAcentral lists this long non-coding RNA (241 nucleotides) under Amphibalanus amphitrite. RNAcentral's name for it is "uncharacterized LOC122364169". The record is from RNAcentral. Lineage: Eukaryota; Metazoa; Arthropoda; Thecostraca; Balanomorpha; Balanidae.